AUUGAACGCUGGCGGCAGGCUUAACACAUGCAAGUCGAGCGGGGUGAUGGUGCUUGCACUAUCACUUAGCGGCGGACGGGUGAGUAAUGCUUAGGAAUCUGCCUAUUAGUGGGGGACAACAUCUCGAAAGGGAUGCUAAUACCGCAUACGUCCUACGGGAGAAAGCAGGGGAUCACUUGUGACCUUGCGCUAAUAGAUGAGCCUAAGUCGGAUUAGCUAGUUGGUGGGGUAAAGGCCUACCAAGGCGACGAUCUGUAGCGGGUCUGAGAGGAUGAUCCGCCACACUGGGACUGAGACACGGCCCAGACUCCUACGGGAGGCAGCAGUGGGGAAUGUUGGACAAUGGGGGGAACCCUGAUCCAGCCAUGCCGCGUGUGUGAAGAAGGCCUUAUGGUUGUAAAGCACUUUAAGCGAGGAGGAGGCUCUUUUGGUUAAUGCCCAAGAUGAGUGGACGUUACCGACAUAAGAAGCACCGGCUAACUCCGUGCCAGCCGCCGCGGUAA
This 503-nucleotide ribosomal RNA is filed under the name uncultured bacterium. Its description in RNAcentral is "partial 16S ribosomal RNA". It matches the Rfam family "Bacterial small subunit ribosomal RNA", at positions 30 to 523 of the family's 1533-position model. The record is from RNAcentral.